RNAcentral lists this ribosomal RNA (301 nucleotides) under uncultured bacterium. RNAcentral describes it as "partial 16S ribosomal RNA". It matches the Rfam family "Bacterial small subunit ribosomal RNA", at positions 509 to 809 of the family's 1533-position model. The record is from RNAcentral.
CAGCAGCCGCGGGAAUACGGAGGGUGCAAGCGUUAUCCGGAUUUAUUGGGUUUAAAGGGUCCGUAGGCGGAUCUGUAAGUCAGUGGUGAAAUCUCACAGCUUAACUGUGAAACUGCCAUUGAUACUGCAGGUCUUGAGUAAAUUUGAAGUGGCUGGAAUAAGUAGUGUAGCGGUGAAAUGCAUAGAUAUUACUUAGAACACCAAUUGCGAAGGCAGGUCACUAAGAUUUAACUGACGCUGAUGGACGAAAGCGUGGGGAGCGAACAGGAUUAGAUACCCCCGUAGUCCCUGUCUCUUAUAA